UACGUAGGGGGCAAGCGUUAUCCGGAUUUACUGGGUGUAAAGGGGGCGCAGACGGCAGCGCAAGCCAGGAGUGAAAACCAUGGGCUCAACCUGUGGCCUGCAUUUGAAACUGUUUUUCUUGAGUACUGGAGAGGCAGACGGAAUUCCUAGUGUAGCGGUGAAAUGCGUAGAUAUAUGGAGGAACACCGGUGGCGAAAGCGGCUCUCUGGCCUGUAACUGACACUGAGGCUCGAAAGCGUGGGGAGCAAACAGG
Molecule: ribosomal RNA, 253 nt
Filed under: uncultured bacterium
Lineage: Bacteria
Description: partial 16S ribosomal RNA
Rfam family: Bacterial small subunit ribosomal RNA
Source: RNAcentral